Molecule: transfer RNA, 64 nt
Filed under: Graffilla buccinicola
Lineage: Eukaryota; Metazoa; Platyhelminthes; Rhabdocoela; Graffillidae
Description: tRNA-Gln
Source: RNAcentral
CCCCAUAGGGUGUGGUUAUGCAUGCUGGGUUUUGGUCUCAGAGGAGGUUGGGUGUCUGUGGGGG